Molecule: ribosomal RNA, 108 nt
Filed under: Candidatus Cloacimonadota bacterium
Lineage: Bacteria; Pseudomonadati; Candidatus Cloacimonadota
Source: RNAcentral
UAUAGCAGCGAGGCAACACCUGUUCCCAUUCCGAACACAGUAGUUAAGCUUGUCUGCGCCGAUGGUACUGCAUGGGCAACUGUGUGGGAGAGUAGGUCGUCGCCAUCG